AGUCAAAUUCAUGGGCAAUUAAAUCUCCUCCUACAUUUCUGAUCAGGCCUCUGUUUCUCCAUUAUUUCUCACCUGCAAGGGCAUCUUCUUAAGGACAACUGUAUUGGGAGUCACAAAACGGACCGUGAAGUCCUUGACCAUAGGCACUCAGUUACCGUCUAAAGGUAGAAAACCUCAGAGAACGUACUUCAUGCUCUGGGUGAGAGGAUGCAGUCAGCAAGUACAUCUGGUGAGAGAAACAGAGACGCUUUCAUGGAGAUCGCACUAUUUGAGUUAGUCCUGAAUAUCGAGUAGGAUUGUAUACAACAGAUACGAGGGGUAUUUUGUUAGUUACAUGUCCGACUUCGGUCCCUGUUUGGAAUUUCUAUUUCACUGGCUCUUUAGAGAUACAAAACUCACAUUUUGUAUCUUAAGAAGAGAGGAUCGAUUCUUUGUGUGCAGUACUUUUCACAGAAUUUCUUUGUGUUGCCAAGCUUACCCAUAGAGCUGAAGCCUGUCAGAGCUUUAGUUCAAAUGUAUGAUUGAACUAAAUUACAACCCUUCACCUCUGCCCCUGGAGCCUUCUGCUACCCAAGGCUCCCAGUGGGGAUAGUCCGCCUUCUGUGAUUUAUUUACAGACCGAAUGAUAAACAAUCGCAAUUCCUAGGCUUAAACCAAUAGCAGGGGUCAGAAAUUACUUAAAUUUUGUGAUUUGCACUUAUAAAUGUCGUCUUCCAAAAACUGUUAUUUUUCUAACAUGCUUGAAUAUACUGAGCCAUAGGAAUUUUCUUAAAUGCAGGGAGGUAAUGAAAGUGCUUUAUAAACUGUUAAGUUCUAAUAUUGUUAUUAUUAGAGAUACUUGUUGUUAAAAUAUUGGCUGAUUUUAGAAAGUAAAGAGAUCUUUUAAUUGUGAAAUUAUUCUAAAGCAUGCAGAAGCAUUUUGGAAUAAUCUUUCCCUUUAGAACACUGUGUCUGGUUUUCAAAUUCCCUUGAUUUAUACUUUUAGCAUUGUGUAGAUUAGCAA
Bos taurus (domestic cattle) is the source of this 1003-nucleotide long non-coding RNA. The record is from Ensembl. Lineage: Eukaryota; Metazoa; Chordata; Mammalia; Artiodactyla; Bovidae.